AUAGUGAGCUUAACUAAUAUAUAAAAUAAUUUACUAAAAUUAUUGAAUUCACAUGAAUAUGUAGCUUACAUAAUAGAUCGUCACCGUCUAAACAUACUAUAAUAUUUGUAUGGUUGUAAAAAUUUAAUACUAUAAAUAAAUUAAAAGUUUAAAAUAAGGUAAUUUUAGAUUUACGUAAGGAACCCCCACUUUCAAUCGAGAGGUUGUGAGUUCGAGUCUCCCCAAGAGUAAGGUGGGAAGUUCUUGGAGGGAAGAAUGCCGGGGUCUAUUUGGAAACAGUCUCUCUAUCCAAGGGUAGGGGUAAGAUCUGCCUACACACUAUCCUUCCCAAAUCUUACUAAAUAAGAUUAUAUUGGAUUGUUGUUGUUUGUUUGAUUUAUCAUUCUUGUAAGA
RNAcentral lists this long non-coding RNA (393 nucleotides) under Nicotiana benthamiana. Its description in RNAcentral is "long non-coding RNA (NBEN_LNC008463)". The record is from RNAcentral. Lineage: Eukaryota; Viridiplantae; Streptophyta; Magnoliopsida; Solanales; Solanaceae.